Molecule: ribosomal RNA, 253 nt
Filed under: uncultured bacterium
Lineage: Bacteria
Description: partial 16S ribosomal RNA
Rfam family: Bacterial small subunit ribosomal RNA
Source: RNAcentral
UACGUAGGGUGCAAGCGUUGUCCGGAAUUAUUGGGCGUAAAGAGCUCGUAGGCGGUCUGUCGCGUCGGCUGUGAAAUCCCGAGCUCAACUCCGGGUCUGCAUUCGAUACGGGCAGGCUAGAGUUCGGUAGGGGAGACUGGAAUUCCUGGUGUAGCGGUGAAAUGCGCAGAUAUCAGGAGGAACACCGGUGGCGAAGGCGGUUCUCUGGGCAUUACCUGACGCUGAGGAGCGAAAAGUGUGGGGAGCGAACAGG